CCAGUCACUGUUGGAGCAGGUCAGACCCUGAUGAUCCAGUCACUGUUGGAGCAGGUCAGACCCUGAUGAUCCAGUCACUGUUGGAGCAGGUCAGACCCUGAUGAUCCAGUCACUGUUGGAGCAGGUCAGACCCUGAUGAUCCAGUCACUGUUGGAGCAGGUCAGACCCUGAUGAUCCAGUCACUGUUGGAGCAGGUCAGACCCUGAUGAUCCAGUCACUGUUGGAGCAGGUCAGACCCUGAUGAUCCAGUCACUGUUGGAGCAGGUCAGACCCUGAUGAUCCAGUCACUGUUGGAGCAGGUCAGACCCUGAUGAUCCAGUCACUGUUGGAGCAGGUCAGACCCUGAUGAUCCAGUCACUGUUGGAGCAGGUCAGACCCUGAUGAUCCAGUCACUGUUGGAGCAGGUCAGACCCUGAUGAUCCAGUCACUGUUGGAGCAGGUCAGACCCUGAUGAUCCAGUCACUGUUGGAGCAGGUCAGACCCUGAUGAUCCAGUCACUGUUGGAGCAGGUCAGACCCUGAUGAUCCAGUCACUGUUGGAGCAGGUCAGACCCUGAUGAUCCAGUCACUGUUGGAGCAGGUCAGACCCUGAUGAUCCAGUCACUGUUGGAGCAGGUCAGACCCUGAUGAUCCAGUCACUGUUGGAGCAGGUCAGACCCUGAUGAUCCAGUCACUGUUGGAGCAGGUCAGACCCUGCUGAUCCAUUCACUGUUGGAGCAGGUCAGACCCUGAUGAUCCAGUCACUGUUGGAGCAGUUCAGACCCUGA
This is a long non-coding RNA of Oncorhynchus keta (chum salmon), 766 nucleotides long. RefSeq lists it as uncharacterized. Lineage: Eukaryota; Metazoa; Chordata; Actinopteri; Salmoniformes; Salmonidae. The transcript is spliced from 5 exons. The record is from RefSeq and is a predicted model, not a curated record.